GAGCAAACCAUAGGAGCGAUUAACAUUGUUGUCGACUGCCUGACGAGCCGCGGCGCGGCACAGUGCACAGUGCACAGUGCAACGUGCAGCGUGGGCGAGCGAGGGCCUGGCGGGGGCGAGUGCACUUGCCACCGUCAGGCCAGCGUCAGCCCACGGAAAGCGCAACAAAAUGGCGGCACAGCCGUCAGAGCGUGGCACCAACACCGCGGCCCCAGUCAGCUCGAGUCGCAGCACCAACCUCAACACCAGCCUAAAGCCAACCAACACCCCACGCCGCCUGGUAGCGUCCGUCCGUCCGUCGCGUCGGCAGGGCAAUGGAGAGGCGAUGCCAUCAAGCGUGUUGGGUCGGUGGGCAACGGUAGCUGCAACAGCAGGCACAGGGACAGGGACAGGCACAGGGACAGGGACAACGAAGCGGUUGGCCUCCCAGUACACUGCGCGACAUUUCGAAGCAUAGUAUCGUAUUUAUGUGCACAUGAGUAGAAGAAGGUCGACCUUUUAAAGAAGGCCAAGAUGUGCCCGAGGCUGAGACCAUGCUUUGUGGAGGCAAUAGGAUGAGAGCUUUGCUGACGAAAUAUAUCCCUGAGGACUGUGCAAUAUAUCUCAAAGAACAUGACACCCUAAUCUACCUAUCUUCUAGUUCUCUUAUCGGCCUUGUUGAAAAACUUUCGAGUAAUUGAUACAAAAUUUGGUAAUAGGUAUGGCUUUUUACUUUUACUUUAACGAAUGCAGAAAUAAAGCUACUUUAUAAAAUUAUGAUGACUUCAAAAUUAAUGAAAAUCAUCACAGCCAAGUGUCCUUAUUAUGUAAUAUGUCUCCCACUUUUUGAGUCUUCCAGCUUUAGGUUUUACCUGCCUUACCGCAACGUACAUACAUGGGAUCAUGCUCCGGUUAUCACAAAUCAUAAAAAGCUUCGAAUUAACUCUCAAAUCGCAAAAGUGCGUGCUCCGGUUUUGCGAAUCGUAAAAUUCGUACGAUUUAGGACCGGUUGCUAAUUAGCACGUAGCACACAUUUGUGUAUGCAGCCCUUAGAAUUCUUGAUGAGUGGAGCCACCUAAUGGAGCGACGCGCAGUGUACUUCUCGACCCCCUCUGUGGCUUGUAGCCUGGUAAUUGCGAUUGUUUUUGCUCGAGUGGCGGGGCAUUUGCCUGCAGAAACGCGACCGUUGCAGCCACCCGCGUCCACUCCCCAAUCCCCAAUCGCACUCCUACCCCCCCAUUGAUAUCGCCCAUUGUACCGGCGGUACGGCUGUUAUUAUGCAAAUGCCAUUCACAGGUAAUUACCACGCUGCACCGUUAUAAUUGCACUCGAAGCCCAGCUAGGAGUCGCGGCCGCAGUUCGCGGCUGUGGCAGCGACGGCGGCUGGCUCCCAUCUCGGCUUUUUGCGCGGCCAAAAACGGCCACGGAGCUGGAAAAUCGAAACUGGCAACAAGAUGUGGCUGCCAUUAAUUACCGUAGCGGCAACACUGAGCUUCUCCAGCCCGCUGCUCGUUCCUAUGGAUCGUAUGAUAUGUGCCCGGGAUAGGAAAGAAGACUAUAUCUGUUACAUAGAUGUUUAAUCCAUUCAAGUAUUUCCCAUCAGGACGAUUUGUGACUUCUUAUACAUAUGUCCCAAAGAAACCCGAAUCUGGCGUGCCUACAAAUGCCUGUCGCAUUGUAGCGCCGAUCCCGAGAUCUUUAUCUGGACCUUGACCUGUGGCUGUGGUGGAAGCCCUUAUCCGACAUUGGCGGCGACAAUGCGACAUUUGUGAGCAGCAGAAGCGGAGCAUCUCCGCUGAUGCUGAUGCUGAUGCCGAUGCUGACACCUUUGCUGCUCUCGGGAAGAGGAGUCAUGAGAACGCAGACACAGACGCGGGCAAAUUAGAAUAACUUAAAUACACGGCGGCACGCAUUAAGCGGCACCGGGUUCCGGGGCAGAGAUAUUAUCAUCUGAAUCGGCAUCGCCAGCGAGCCGCUGCGAAUCCUUUUUCACUCUUCUCUCGCCCGCUAUCAAAAAGUAAUAAAUCUGCCGCUGAUCCAU
Molecule: small RNA, 2020 nt
Filed under: Drosophila pseudoobscura pseudoobscura
Lineage: Eukaryota; Metazoa; Arthropoda; Insecta; Diptera; Drosophilidae
Description: GA31035
Source: RNAcentral